This 253-nucleotide ribosomal RNA is filed under the name uncultured bacterium. Its description in RNAcentral is "partial 16S ribosomal RNA". It matches the Rfam family "Bacterial small subunit ribosomal RNA", at positions 524 to 776 of the family's 1533-position model. The record is from RNAcentral.
UACGGAGGGUGCAAGCGUUAAUCGGAAUUACUGGGCGUAAAGCGCACGCAGGUGGCUGAGUCAGUCGAUUGUGAAAGCCCUGGGCUUAACCUGGGAAUUGCAGUCGAUACUACUCAGCUAGAGUAUGGGAGAGGGUAGUGGAAUUCCCGGUGUAGCGGUGAAAUGCGUAGAUAUCGGGAGGAACAUCAGUGGCGAAGGCGACUCUUUGGCCUGUAACUGACGCUGAGGCGCGAAAGCGUGGGGAGCAAACAGG